AUACGUAGGGUGCGAGCGUUGUCCGGAAUUACUGGGCGUAAAGAGCUCGUAGGCGGUUUGUCGCGUCGUCUGUGAAAUUCUGCAGCUUAACUGCAGGCGUGCAGGCGAUACGGGCAGACUUGAGUACUACAGGGGAGACUGGAAUUCCUGGUGUAGCGGUGAAAUGCGCAGAUAUCAGGAGGAACACCGGUGGCGAAGGCGGGUCUCUGGGUAGUAACUGACGCUGAGGAGCGAAAGCGUGGGUAGCGAACAGGAUUAGAUACCCUGGUAGUCCACGCCGUAAACGGUGGGUACUAGGUGUGGGUUCCUUUUCACGGGAUCCGUGCCGUAGCUAACGCAUUAAGUACCCCGCCUGGGGAGUACGGCCGCAAGGCUAAA
This 378-nucleotide ribosomal RNA is filed under the name uncultured bacterium. RNAcentral describes it as "bacterial SSU rRNA". It matches the Rfam family "Bacterial small subunit ribosomal RNA", at positions 523 to 898 of the family's 1533-position model. The record is from RNAcentral.